Molecule: ribosomal RNA, 497 nt
Filed under: uncultured bacterium
Lineage: Bacteria
Description: partial 16S ribosomal RNA
Rfam family: Bacterial small subunit ribosomal RNA
Source: RNAcentral
GAUGAACGCUGGCGGCGUGCCUAAUACAUGCAAGUCGAGCGAACGGACGAGAAGCUUGCUUCUCUGAUGUUAGCGGCGGACGGGUGAGUAACACGUGGAUAACCUACCUAUAAGACUGGGAUAACUUCGGGAAACCGGAGCUAAUACCGGAUAAUAUUUUGAACCGCAUGGUUCAAAAGUGAAAGACGGUCUUGUUGUCACUUAUAGAUGGAUCCGCGCUGCAUUAGCUAGUUGGUAAGGUAACGGCUUACCAAGGCAACGAUGCAUAGCCGACCUGAGAGGGGGAUCGGCCACACUGGAACUGAGACACGGUACAGACUACUACGGGAGGCAGCAGUAGGGAAUCUUCCGCAAUGGGCGAAAGCCUGACGGAGCAACGCCGCGUGAGUGAUGAAGGUCUUCGGAUCGUAAAACUCUGUUAUUAGGGAAGAACAUAUGUGUAAGUAACUGUGCACAUCUUGACGGUACCUAAUCAGAAAGCCACGGCUAACUACGUG